Panicum virgatum (switchgrass) is the source of this 2466-nucleotide long non-coding RNA. RefSeq lists it as uncharacterized. Lineage: Eukaryota; Viridiplantae; Streptophyta; Magnoliopsida; Poales; Poaceae. The transcript has 2 exons. The record is from RefSeq and is a predicted model, not a curated record.
AUGGUGUUGCCCCUCGCUCUUUUUUUUAGAUUCCCCUUCCGAAUGCUCUCUUGAUCUAGCAUGCGAGAAAAUUUCAUAGACACUAUGUCGCCAUAGACUCUCCGAUAUUUUUUUCUAGAUAGUCAGCUCUUGCAGUCCAUGGAAUGUAUUAUGAAAGGUAAAUAUCUGUUUGCAUAAAUAUUAUAAAUCACAUUUUAUUUUCUAAAACCAGCAGCAUGCCGUGUGGCCAUGAGAAAGGUGAUAACUGCUUUCAGUUCUUCAUGGUUACAUCUUCAGUCUUAUUUUGGUUGGCACUCUUUAUUUGGCUAGAAAUACCAGGAAUUCGGGUUGUUAAUUUGCAGAAGAAUACAAGAAUUCUGAAUGGCAAACACUUGUAAUGUAUACUAUUUGUGUUGGUAUCUUUGUGUAGUAAGAUGUUACAUAUAGUUCAUACUAGAAAUAUAUCUAAUGCAUUUGAGGCUUUUGCUUUACAUGGUCCAAAUCAAUGCUUUUAUUCAAAUAUUUCAUGUUCAUUCUCAUGAACUUGAUGUCAUUUUUUUUGAAGAGUUCAUGAACUUGAUGUCGACAGGUUGGUUUUAAAUUACUGGUGCAUAACAUCUUUAGCUCUGUAAAUGGUCUCACUCAUAAUGUCCAACCAAUCAUAUUCUACAUGUUGUCAUGUUGUAAUCUUCUUGCUUGUCAUGUUUGUUGUAUAUUAUCCACAUAUUACCAUCGAUUAUAUGAAUAUCACCAAAGGUAAUGCUGUAACUGCUACUAAAUAAUUUUAAUUUUGGCUUCUCUGAAUUUCUAGGCAAUUGGUGUGUUCUACAUUUUUUUUACAGGCUGAUGUGUGCUACGAUGAGUGUCUAUAUCUCCCUCAACACCAGGUAAUGUUUGCUUUAUUCUUUCAGUCUGAAUUCUUGCAGAUUAAAUCAAAGCAUUAUCUUUUUCUGCUUUGCUCUAAAGUAUAUUUCCUGAAUGAAUAUGUUUAAUUGAUUUUGUAUAAGUAGUUUUCUUCGAAGUAUUCAAGUGUUAAGUGACAUAAUUAUUUUCAGUUUCUUCGAGGGAGGACCUUCUGUAACCAGUGCUGCUCCCUUGCUUGCUGUAAUUUUGUGAAACAGAUUUGUUAUUGCCCCAUGGUGGUGGUAUUUUCUUGCAUGUGUUGCAAUCAGUCGCAGGAGUCCCCAUCAUUACAAGCUGCAUUCUAUGAACCUGAACCUUAAUAUUGAAUGAUCCAAAUGUUGGAGGAUUCAAUCCCGUUUUAGGCAAACUGAAACUCCUUCUAGGUGGACAUAAUGAAAAUUAGAACAAGUUCUAAUAUUUGAGUCUAUACUAAAUUGUUCAGUUAGCGCUACCAGAAAAAGAUAUUGAACCUUACAACAUAUAUCUGUUUGCACUAGGUAUCCCUGUAAACAUUGAACAAAGUCACUGGUACUUAGCAGUCAUAAAUGCCAAGAAACGUGUUAUUAAUUCAUUGGGAUUAGUGCAUCGUGAUGAACUAAUAAUAUAUGCUGUUCAUGGGCUGCAGAGAUAGAUUGAUAUAACAAGCCAUUCGUUGGUGGUUAUUAGAAGCAUCCCAAAAGCGUCCCAUCACCAAUUUGGGAAAAUCAUACAAAUAUGAAAGGGUAGUUUAUCCUUACCAACUGGAUCUUGUUGCACCCGGUAACAAACAUGCAUAAACCAUUUCUCGAAAUAUGUAAUUAUGAGUUACAUAGGUUAUAAAGAUUGCAGGGUUCAAGUGGCCUAACCUAAAGGUUAAGUCAUGGCCUAUUGGUGUACAUAGAAGUUGAGGGAGAAGUAUGGAUGGAUCUCUCCCACAUAUUGUCAUGUCUUGCAUGGUGGUGUUGCACCAAUUAGGCAAUGUUUUAAAUUCUUGUAUCAAUAAGGAAAAAGUCUAAAUUACUCCCCUCAACUAUAGCCAAAGUCUGGAUAACCCCCUAAACUAUUGUUAGUUUGGUUCAUUUUACCCCCAAACUAUACCAUUUAGUUCAAAUUACCCCCUAAUGUAAUUUGUCUUUUUCAUUUCUCCAUGCAUAGGUGGAGUUUUAAGUUGAAAAUUUACAACAUAAUAGUACACACCAUAACACAUAUUAGAAAAAUAAAUCAUAUUUUUUAUCAUUAUUUUGAUAGGUUAGGAUAUUUAAUAAUAAAUUAAUUAUUGGAGUUCAAAUUUGUAUGAAAACUAAUGGGGAAAAAUUAUAAAACUUUUUCUAAAUAUGCUUUGUUAUGUUCACUAAUACCCUACAAAAUUUGAAAUUAAAAUUCGACUUGUGUAUGGAGAAAUAAAAAAUAUAAAUUGUGUUAUGGGGUAAAAUAAACUAAAUGACAUAGUUUAGGAGUAAAUUGAACCAAGUUAUAGUUUAAGGGGUUAUCCAGAUUUGGCUAUAGUUGAGGGGAGUAAAUUGAACUUUUUCCUAUCAAUAAUGGAUUAAGACAAGUUCUUAUGGUGGAUCCAAUAUGAUGUUCGCGCAACUAUUGUUACAGUUA